AUACGGAGGAUCCGAGCGUUAUCCGGAUUUAUUGGGUUUAAAGGGAGCGUAGGUGGAUUGUUAAGUCAGUUGUGAAAGUUUGCGGCUCAACCGUAAAAUUGCAGUUGAAACUGGCAGUCUUGAGUACAGUAGAGGUGGGCGGAAUUCGUGGUGGAGCGGUGAAAUGCUUAGAUAUCACGAAGAACUCCGAUUGCGAAGGCAGCUCACUAGACUGCAACUGACACUGAUGCUCGAAAGUGUGGGUAUCAAACAGGAUUAGAUACCCUGGUAGUCCACACAGUAAACGAUGAAUACUCGCUGUUUGCGAUAUACAGUAAGCGGCCAAGCGAAAGCAUUAAGUAUUCCACCUGGGGAGUACGCCGGCAACGGUGAAACUCAAAGGAAUUGACGGGG
This 393-nucleotide ribosomal RNA is filed under the name uncultured bacterium. RNAcentral's name for it is "partial 16S ribosomal RNA". It matches the Rfam family "Bacterial small subunit ribosomal RNA", at positions 523 to 918 of the family's 1533-position model. The record is from RNAcentral.